UACAGAGGUGGCAAGCGUUGUUCGGAAUUACUGGGCGUAAAGGGCGCGUAGGCGGCCUUCUAAGUCAGACGUGAAAUCCCCCGGCUUAACCUGGGAACUGCGUCUGAUACUGGGAGGCUUGAGUAUGGGAGAGGGGUGUAGAAUUCCAGGUGUAGCGGUGAAAUGCGUAGAUAUCUGGAGGAAUACCGGUGGCGAAGGCGGCAUCCUGGACCAUAACUGACGCUGAGGCGCGAAAGCUAGGGGAGCAAACGGG
RNAcentral lists this ribosomal RNA (253 nucleotides) under uncultured bacterium. Its description in RNAcentral is "partial 16S ribosomal RNA". It matches the Rfam family "Bacterial small subunit ribosomal RNA", at positions 524 to 776 of the family's 1533-position model. The record is from RNAcentral.